RNAcentral lists this ribosomal RNA (860 nucleotides) under uncultured bacterium. RNAcentral describes it as "bacterial SSU rRNA". It matches the Rfam family "Bacterial small subunit ribosomal RNA", at positions 30 to 872 of the family's 1533-position model. The record is from RNAcentral.
UGAACGCUGGCGGUAUGCUUUACACAUGCAAGUCGAACGGCAGCACGGGGCAACCUGGUGGCGAGUGGCGAACGGGUGAGUAACGCGUGGGCGACCUACCUUCGAGUGGGGGAUAACAUUCCGAAAGGAGUGCUAAUACCGCAUAACAUCCCGUGUUUAGAUACAUGGUGAUCAAAGCCGGGCCGUAAGGCCUGGCGCUUAGAGAGGGGCCCGCGUCCGAUUAGCUAGUUGGUGGGGUAACGGCUCACCAAGGCUCCGAUCGGUAUCCGGCCUGAGAGGGCGGACGGACACACUGGAACUGAGACACGGUCCAGACUCCUACGGGAGGCAGCAGUGGGGAAUUGUUCGCAAUGGGCGCAAGCCUGACGACGCAACGCCGCGUGGAGGAUGAAGACCUUCGGGUCGUAAACUCCUUUCGACCGAGAAGAAUGGCUCUCGACCUAAUACGUCGAGAGCAUGACGGUACCGAGGGAAGAAGCCCCGGCUAACUCCGUGCCAGCAGCCGCGGUAAUACGGGGGGGGCAAGCGUUGUUCGGAAUUACUGGGCGUAAAGGGUUCGUAGGUGGCCAACUAAGUCAGACGUGAAAUCCCUCAGCUUAACUGAGGAACUGCGUCUGAAACUGGAUGGCUUGAGUGCAGGAGAGGAACGCGGAAUUCCAGGUGUAGCGGUGAAAUGCGUAGAUAUCUGGAGGAACACCGGUGGCGAAGGCGGCGUUCUGGACUGCAACUGACACUGAGGAACGAAAGCCAGGGGAGCAAACGGGAUUAGAUACCCCGGUAGUCCUGGCCCUAAACGAUGAAUGCUUGGUGUAACGGGUAUCGAUCCCUGUUGUGCCGAAGCUAACGCAUAAGCAUCCCGC